Molecule: ribosomal RNA, 497 nt
Filed under: uncultured bacterium
Lineage: Bacteria
Description: partial 16S ribosomal RNA
Rfam family: Bacterial small subunit ribosomal RNA
Source: RNAcentral
GAUGAACGCUGGCGGCGUGCCUAAUACAUGCAAGUCGAGCGAACGGACGAGAAGCUUGCUUCUCUGAUGUUAGCGGCGGACGGGUGAGUAACACGUGGAUAACCUACCUAUAAGACUGGGAUAACUUCGGGAAACCGGAGCUAAUACCGGAUAAUAUUUUGAACCGCAUGGUUCAAAAGUGAAAGACGGUCUUGCUGCCACUUAUAGAUGGAUCCGCGCUGCAUUAGCUAGUUGGUAAGGUAACGGCUUACCAAGGCAACGAUGCAUAGCCGACCUGAGAGGGUGAUCGGCCACACUGGAACUGAGACACGGUCCAGACUCCUACGGGAGGCAGCAGUAGGGAAUCUUCCGCAAUGGGCGAAAGCCUGACGGAGCAGCGCCGCGUGAGUGAUGAAGGUCUUCGGAUCGUAAAACUCUGUUAUUAGGGAAGAACAUAUGUGUAAGUAACUGUGCACAUCUUGACGGUACCUAAUCAGAAAGCCACGGCUAACUACGUG